RNAcentral lists this ribosomal RNA (468 nucleotides) under uncultured bacterium. Its description in RNAcentral is "partial 16S ribosomal RNA". It matches the Rfam family "Bacterial small subunit ribosomal RNA", at positions 28 to 507 of the family's 1533-position model. The record is from RNAcentral.
GACGAACGCUGGCGGCGUGCUUAACACAUGCAAGUCGAACGGAAAGGCCCUGCUUUUGUGGGGUGCUCGAUUGGCGAACGGGUGAGUAACACGUGAGUAACCUGCCCUUGACUUUGGGAUAACUUCAGGAAACUGGGGCUAAUACCGGAUAGGAGCUCCUGCUGCAUGGUGGGGGUUGGAAAGUUUCGGCUGUUGUGGAUAGACUCGCGGCUUAUCAGCUUGUUGGUGGGGUAGUGGCUUACCAAGGCUUUGACGGGUAGCCGGCCUGAGAGGGUGACCGGCGACAUUGGGCCUGAGAGACGGCGCAGACUCCAACGGGAGGCAGUAGUGGGGAAUAUUGCACAGUGGGCCGAAGCCUGAUGCAGAAACGCCGGGUGCGUAAUGACGGCCUUCGGGUUGUAAACAGCUUUCGAAUGUGACGAAGCGUGAGUGACGGUAAUGGGUAAAGAAGCAACGGCUAACUACGUG